This 74-nucleotide transfer RNA is filed under the name Parcubacteria group bacterium SW_6_46_9. RNAcentral's name for it is "tRNA-Lys". It matches the Rfam family "tRNA". Rfam says of the family: Transfer RNA (tRNA) molecules are approximately 80 nucleotides in length. The record is from RNAcentral.
GCCUCCAUAGCUUAAUGGCAAAGCAGCAGACUUUUAAUCUGUUGAUCGGGGUUCGACUCCCUGUGGAGGCACAA